AUGAUGCAUUCUCGGGCUGGAGCAGUGUGGAUCUGAUCCAUUCCUAACGCUGCCAAAACUGGAACAGGCUCGUGCUGUUUCUUGUCUGGCCAGACCAGGGGGAGGCUGAGAACUGAGUCUGGGGAUGUCAGCUGAGUGAUCCUGUUUCUCCAGAUCAGUUGGACCUUGCAAAGCUUCCCCCUCAUCUCUUGGAGUUCUGCAAGGACCCAUUUGCA
RNAcentral lists this long non-coding RNA (215 nucleotides) under Gallus gallus (chicken). Lineage: Eukaryota; Metazoa; Chordata; Aves; Galliformes; Phasianidae. The record is from RNAcentral.